RNAcentral lists this ribosomal RNA (447 nucleotides) under uncultured bacterium. Its description in RNAcentral is "partial 16S ribosomal RNA". It matches the Rfam family "Bacterial small subunit ribosomal RNA", at positions 29 to 523 of the family's 1533-position model. The record is from RNAcentral.
AACGAACGCUGGCGGCAGGCUUAACACAUGCAAGUCGAACGCCCCGCAAGGGGAGUGGCAGACGGGUGAGUAACGCGUGGGAAUCUACCGUGCCCUACGGAAUAGCUCCGGGAAACUGGAAUUAAUACCGUAUACGCCCUACGGGGGAAAGAUUUAUCGGGGUAUGAUGAGCCCGCGUUGGAUUAGCUAGUUGGUGGGGCAAAGGCCUACCAAGGCGACGAUCCAUAGCUGGUCUGAGAGGAUGAUCAGCCACAUUGGGACUGAGACACGGCCCAAACUCCUACGGGAGGCAGCAGUGGGGAAUAUUGGACAAUGGGCUCAAGCCUGAUCCAGCCAUGCCGCGUGAGUGAUGAAGGUCUUAGGAUUGUAAAGCUCUUUCACCGAUGAAGAUAAUGACGGUAGUCGGAGAAGAAGCCCCGGCUAACUUCGUGCCAGCCGCCGCAGUAA